Molecule: ribosomal RNA, 496 nt
Filed under: uncultured bacterium
Lineage: Bacteria
Description: bacterial SSU rRNA
Rfam family: Bacterial small subunit ribosomal RNA
Source: RNAcentral
GAGUUUGAUCCUGGCUCAGGAUGAACGCUGGCGGCGUGCUUAACACAUGCAAGUCGAACGGAGUACCCCUGAAGGAGUUUUCGGACAACUGAUGGGACUACUUAGUGGCGGACGGGUGAGUAACGCGUGAGUAACCUGCCUUGGAGUGGGGAAUAACAGCUGGAAACAGCUGCUAAUACCGCAUAAUAUGUCUGUGUCGCAUGGCACUGGACAUCAAAGAUUUAUCGCUCUGAGAUGGACUCGCGUCUGAUUAGCUAGUUGGCGGGGUAACGGCCACCAAGGCGACGAUCAGUAGCCGGACUGAGAGGUUGGCCGGCCACAUUGGGACUGAGACACGGCCCAGACUCCUACGGGAGGCAGCAGUGGGGAAUAUUGGGCAAUGGGCGCAAGCCUGACCCAGCAACGCCGCGUGAAGGAAGAAGGCUUUCGGGUUGUAAACUUCUUUUCUCAGGGACGAAGCAAGUGACGGUACCUGAGGAAUAAGCCACGGCUAACU